This 27-nucleotide non-coding RNA is filed under the name Rattus norvegicus (Norway rat). The record is from RNAcentral. Lineage: Eukaryota; Metazoa; Chordata; Mammalia; Rodentia; Muridae.
UGAGAAAACACCCUUUCACUUGUGUCU